Molecule: long non-coding RNA, 649 nt
Filed under: Cricetulus griseus (Chinese hamster)
Lineage: Eukaryota; Metazoa; Chordata; Mammalia; Rodentia; Cricetidae
Description: lncRNA (ENSCGRG00015037008.1)
Source: RNAcentral
CGCCUGUUCAGCCAAGGUCAGGAUGCAGUUAAGUGGUUCGUACAAGGCCCUAUCUGUUAGGGAAGUGUGGGGAGCAGUUAUUUGUUGCUAAGCAACAUCUACCAUGAGCACUGAGGCUACUUGUGUGCAUAUCCACAGUUUAAUCCUGUGUUUAUGCAUGCCCAAGACACCGAAGAGCUAACACAAAGCAGCCACACUCUAAAGCAUGUUCUAGAGGUCUAACUCGGGUCACACCAAGUACUCACUCUACCCCCAGCUACUACCUGCUCUUCACCAGCCUCCUCUCAUGGCUUGAAACCCACGAUGUGAGGCAUGGAUAACCAUGGGAUCUUUAAUGUGAGGCCUCUUCAAUUCUGCAACAGCCCAAUCUUCACAGAAGAGCAGAGCCAUGGUGACCUAUGAGACAAGAAAAGCAGGACCGGGGCUGGGGAGACUGCCCCGCAGUUAAGAGCACUGGCUGCUCCUCCAAGAGGAGCAGGGUUCCAUUCCCAGCACAGGUGGCUUCCAGGAGUUAAGUUAACCAUCUUAACUCCAGUUCCAGGGCGUCCAAUGUCUUUCUGUGGCCUCCACAGCACCAGACAUGCUCAUGGUAGACAGACACAGACAAAACGCCCAUAAGAAUACAACACAAAUACAUUUUUAAAAAGAA